GGGGAUGACGUCAAGUCAGCAUGGCCUUUAUAUCCUGGGCUACACACACGCUACAAUGGGAAGGGACAAUAGGUUGCGAAGCCGCGAGGGCGGAGCCCAAGUCCAGCAAAACUUCCCUCAGUUCAGAUUGCAGGCUGCAACCCGCCUGCAUGAAGUUGGAGUUGCUAGUAAACGCAGGUCAGCCAUACUGCGUUCGAAUACGUUCCCGGGGCUU
This 214-nucleotide ribosomal RNA is filed under the name uncultured Anaerolineaceae bacterium. RNAcentral's name for it is "partial 16S ribosomal RNA". It matches the Rfam family "Bacterial small subunit ribosomal RNA", at positions 1175 to 1382 of the family's 1533-position model. The record is from RNAcentral. Lineage: Bacteria; Bacillati; Chloroflexota; Anaerolineae; Anaerolineales; Anaerolineaceae.